This 257-nucleotide ribosomal RNA is filed under the name uncultured Gluconacetobacter sp. Its description in RNAcentral is "partial 16S ribosomal RNA". It matches the Rfam family "Bacterial small subunit ribosomal RNA", at positions 505 to 762 of the family's 1533-position model. The record is from RNAcentral. Lineage: Bacteria; Pseudomonadati; Pseudomonadota; Alphaproteobacteria; Acetobacterales; Acetobacteraceae.
GUGCCAGCAGCUGCGGUAAUACGAAGGGGCUAGCGUUGCUCGGAAUGACUGGGCGUAAAGGGCGUGUAGGCGGUUUGGACAGUCAGAUGUGAAAUUCCCGGGCUUAACCUGGGGUCUGCAUUUGAUACGUUCAGACUAGAGUGUGAGAGAGGGUUGUGGAAUUCCCAGUGUAGAGGUGAAAUUCGUAGAUAUUGGGAAGAACACCGGUGGCGAAGGCGGCAACCUGGCUCAUGACUGACGCUGAGGCGCGAAAGCGU